This 497-nucleotide ribosomal RNA is filed under the name uncultured bacterium. RNAcentral's name for it is "partial 16S ribosomal RNA". It matches the Rfam family "Bacterial small subunit ribosomal RNA", at positions 28 to 507 of the family's 1533-position model. The record is from RNAcentral.
GAUGAACGCUGGCGGCGUGCCUAAUACAUGCAAGUCGAGCGAACGGACGAGAAGCUUGCUUCUCUGAUGUUAGCGGCGGACGGGUGAGUAACACGUGGAUAACCUACCUAUAAGACUGGGAUAACUUCGGGAAACCGGAGCUAAUACCGGAUGAUAUUUUGAACCGCAUGGUUCAAAAGUGAAAGACGGUCUUGCUGUCACUUAUAGAUGGAUCCGCGCUGCAUUAGCUAGUUGGUAAGGUAACGGCUUACCAAGGCAACGAUGCAUAGCCGACCUGAGAGCGAGAUCUGCCACACAGAGACUGAGACGCCGUUCAGGCACCUACGGCGGGCGGUAGCAGCGGAUCGUCCGCUAUAGGCGAAUGGCUAACGGAGUAACUCCCCGUGAGAGAUAGGGAUUUUCGGUGAGUGAAACUGUGUGCUGAGGGAAGAACAUAUGUGUAAGUGUCUAGGCAUAGCUAGACGGUGCCUGAUGAGUGCACCGCGGCUGACUAAGGG